CUGGGAACUUUUUAGUAAUGUAAAAAUGUGGGUCCCCACUCCUCUAUCACUAUCUGUGCCUUAACCAGACCCCUCGGUGAUUCACAUGUAUAUUUAACAUUUAGAACUCUGCUUUGUAAAGCUAUUACAGUAGUGCCAACAAAGAGCUUGCAUUACUCCAACCUUAAAGCCUAAUGUGCCUUCUAAAGAUCCUGAUAUUGUCACAGUAGGCUAGUUAGCAUAGAAACUGUUAGAGGAAAGUACACACUUUGUGCAUUUUUCCAAGAAUGUUUUUAGUCAUUUCCUUUUCAGUGUGUGAAACAGCCUAACAUGUUCAUCUUCACAAGGUCAAUUUUCAUGUAUUAAAUUGUGCAUAGUGCUUUAAAGAGCUAUAUUCCUCAAAAAUAAACUAUAUAAAAAAGAUUAAUA
This 408-nucleotide non-coding RNA is filed under the name Pongo abelii (Sumatran orangutan). Lineage: Eukaryota; Metazoa; Chordata; Mammalia; Primates; Hominidae. The record is from RNAcentral.